UAAGACGAACCGUGCGAACGUUAUUCGGAAUCACUGGGCUUAAAGCGCGUGUAGGCGGAUCGGAACGUCGGAGCCUGAAAUCCCCCGGCUCAACCGGGGAACGCGGCCCGAAACGACCGGUCUCGAGGGGUGUAGGGGGGACUGGAACUUCCGGUGGAGCGGUGAAAUGCGUUGAGAUCGGAAGGAACGCCCGUGGCGAAAGCGAGUCCCUGGACGCCUGCUGACGCUGAGACGCGAAAGCUAGGGGAGCGAACGGGAUUAGAUACCCCGGUAGUCCUAGCCGUAAACGAUGAGCACUGGGUAGGGGGUCCGCCCAUGGACUCCCUGCCGCAGGGAAACCGUGAAGUGCUCCGCCUGGGGAGUAUGGUCGCAAGGCUGAAACUCAAAUGAAUUGACGG
Molecule: ribosomal RNA, 398 nt
Filed under: uncultured bacterium
Lineage: Bacteria
Description: bacterial SSU rRNA
Rfam family: Bacterial small subunit ribosomal RNA
Source: RNAcentral